RNAcentral lists this ribosomal RNA (402 nucleotides) under uncultured bacterium. RNAcentral describes it as "bacterial SSU rRNA". It matches the Rfam family "Bacterial small subunit ribosomal RNA", at positions 355 to 774 of the family's 1533-position model. The record is from RNAcentral.
UGGGGAAUAUUGGACAAUGGGCGCAAGCCUGAUCCAGCCAUGCCGCGUGAGUGAUGAAGGCCCUAGGGUUGUAAAGCUCUUUCACCGGUGAAGAUAAUGACGGUAACCGGAGAAGAAGCCCCGGCUAACUUCGUGCCAGCAGCCGCGGUACUACGAAGGGGGCUAACGUUGUUCGGAAUUACUGGGCGUAAAGCGCACGUAGGCGGAUCGAUCAGUUAGGGGUGAAAUCCCGGGGCUCAACCCCGGAACUGCCUCUAAUACUGUCGAUCUGGAGUUCGAGAGAGGUGAGUGGAAUUCCGAGUGUAGAGGUGAAAUUCGUAGAUAUUCGGAGGAACACCAGUGGCGAAGGCGGCUCACUGGCUCGAUACUGACGCUGAGGUGCGAAAGCGUGGGGAGCAAACA